GAAAUGCGAUAAGUAGUGUGAAUUGCAGAAUUCAGUGAAUCAUCGAAUCUUUGAACGCACAUUGCGCCCCUUGGUAUUCCAUGGGGCAUGCCUGUUCGAGCGUCAUUUGUGCCCUCAAGCUCUGCUUGGUGUUGGGUGUUUGUCCCGUCUCCGCGCGUGGACUCGCCCCAAAGUGAUUGGCAGCCGGCGUACUGGUCCCGGAGCGCAGCACAUGUCGCGCAAACGAGUGCCUUGGUACGGCGGCGUCCAUAAGCCCCUCUCUCACGCUCUUGACCUCGGAUCAGGUAGGGAUACCCGCUGAACUUAAGC
Molecule: unclassified non-coding RNA, 309 nt
Filed under: plant metagenome
Description: partial contains 5.8S ribosomal RNA, internal transcribed spacer 2, and large subunit ribosomal RNA
Rfam family: 5.8S ribosomal RNA (bases 1-105)
Source: RNAcentral